GACGAACGCUGGCGGCGUGCUUAACACAUGCAAGUCGAGCGGUAAGGCCUUUCGGGGUACACGAGCGGCGAACGGGUGAGUAACACGUGGGUGAUCUGCCCUGCACUUCGGGAUAAGCCUGGGAAACUGGGUCUAAUACCGGAUAUGACCUCCUAUCGCAUGGUGGGUGGUGGAAAGAUUUAUCGGUGCAGGAUGGGCCCGCGGCCUAUCAGCUUGUUGGUGGGGUAAUGGCCUACCAAGGCGACGACGGGUAGCCGACCUGAGAGGGUGACCGGCCACACUGGGACUGAGACACGGCCCAGACUCCUACGGGAGGCAGCAGUGGGGAAUACUGCACAAUGGGCGAAAGCCUGAGGCAGCGACGCCGCGUGAGGGAUGACGGCCUUCGGGUUGUAAACCUCUUUCAGCAGGGACGAAGCGCAAGUGACGGUACCUGCAGAAGAAGCACCGGCUAACUACGU
This 461-nucleotide ribosomal RNA is filed under the name uncultured bacterium. RNAcentral's name for it is "partial 16S ribosomal RNA". It matches the Rfam family "Bacterial small subunit ribosomal RNA", at positions 28 to 506 of the family's 1533-position model. The record is from RNAcentral.